Triticum aestivum (bread wheat) is the source of this 125-nucleotide non-coding RNA. The record is from Rfam. NCBI's taxonomy places the organism in Eukaryota, Viridiplantae, Streptophyta, Magnoliopsida, Poales, Poaceae.
UAUGUACUCCCUCCGUCCCAAAAUACUUGUCGGAGAAAUGGAUAAAUCUUGACGUAUUUUAGUUAUAGAUACAUUCACUUUUAUUCAUUUCUCCGACAAGUAUUUCGGGACGGAGGGAGUACGAA